RNAcentral lists this ribosomal RNA (164 nucleotides) under Corynosoma australe. RNAcentral's name for it is "5.8S ribosomal RNA". It matches the Rfam family "5.8S ribosomal RNA". From Rfam's summary of the family: 5.8S ribosomal RNA (5.8S rRNA) is a component of the large subunit of the eukaryotic ribosome. It is transcribed by RNA polymerase I as part of the 45S precursor that also contains 18S and 28S rRNA. Lineage: Eukaryota; Metazoa; Acanthocephala; Palaeacanthocephala; Polymorphida; Polymorphidae. The record is from RNAcentral.
UCAGUGUACAGUGAAUCACUAGGCUCGCAGCUCGAGGAAGAGCAUUGCAUUAUGUGAUAACUUCUGUUAAAUGCAGGACACACAGAAUAGAGAUUACUUGAACGCAAAUGACAGUCGUGGGACCUGUGCCCGCGCUACAUCUGUCUGGGGCGAUAAAAAUAUCC